RNAcentral lists this ribosomal RNA (497 nucleotides) under uncultured bacterium. RNAcentral's name for it is "partial 16S ribosomal RNA". It matches the Rfam family "Bacterial small subunit ribosomal RNA", at positions 28 to 507 of the family's 1533-position model. The record is from RNAcentral.
GAUGUACGCUGGCGGCGUGCCUAAUACAUGCAAGUCGAGCGAACAGACGAGGAGCUUGCUCCUCUGACGUUAGCGGCGGACGGGUGAGUAACACGUGGAUAACCUACCUAUAAGACUGGGAUAACUUCGGGAAACCGGAGCUAAUACCGGAUAAUAUAUUGAACCGCAUGGUUCAAUAGUGAAAGACGGUUUUGCUGUCACUUAUAGAUGGAUCCGCGCCGCAUUAGCUAGUUGGUAAGGUAACGGCUUACCAAGGCAACGAUGCGUAGCCGACCUGAGAGGGUGAUCGGCCACACUGGAACUGAGACACGGUCCAGACUCCUACGGGAGGCAGCAGUAGGGAAUCUUCCGCAAUGGGCGAAAGCUUGACGGAGCAACGCCGCGUGAGUGAUGAAGGUCUUCGGAUCGUAAAACUCUGUUAUUAGGGAAGAACAAAUGUGUAAGUAACUAUGCACGUCUUGACGGUACCUAAUCAGAAAGCCACGGCUAACUACGUG